Aplysia californica (California sea hare) is the source of this 308-nucleotide long non-coding RNA. RefSeq lists it as uncharacterized. The transcript has 2 exons. Lineage: Eukaryota; Metazoa; Mollusca; Gastropoda; Aplysiida; Aplysiidae. The record is from RefSeq and is a predicted model, not a curated record.
CGUUUUACGACUCAACAUCUUCUAUCGGGAAUUGAACUAUGAGGAGGUCAUGCAGCAGGAAGCGUACGAUAUUUUUGCUCUGCUCUGCGACAUAGGAGGCUCCAUGGGUCUGUUUAUCGGUGCUAGUGUACUCACAGUCUUUGAAAUACUUGACCUCAUCCUGUUCACGUGGGCAGCCCGUUUUGGUGGACGUCGACAGUGACCUAUCGACGCCGCCCCGCAUUCAAAUGUGCCAAAAUCUUGUUGAUAUUCAAUGAACUAAAAAAUAUUAUGAAUUAACAGAUUUGAAAAAAUGUCGGUGAUUAUCA